CCUACGGGGGGCAGCAGUGAGGAAUAUUGGUCAAUGGCCGGAAGGCUGAACCAGCCAAGCCGCGUGAAGGACGAAGGUGCCAAGCAUUGUAAACUUCUUUUGUCAAGGGACAAAAUCAGGCUCGAGAGUCUGACCGAGGGUACUUGAAGAAAAAGCAUCGGCUAACUCCGUGCCAGCAGCCGCGGUAAUACGGAGGAUGCGAGCGUUAUCCGGAUUUAUUGGGUUUAAAGGGUGCGUAGGGGGGCUGUUAAGUCAGCGGUAAAAGCCAGGGGAUCAACCCCGGAGAGCCGUUGAAACUGGCAGUCUUGAGAUGUCGAGAGGUAUGCGGAAUGCGCAGGGUAGCGGGGAAAUGCUUAGAUAUUGCGCAGAACUCCGAUUGCGAAGGCAGCAUACCGGCGGCGAUCUGACGCUGAGGCACGAAAGCGUGGGUAUCGAACAGGAUUAGAUACCCCUGUAGUC
This 459-nucleotide ribosomal RNA is filed under the name uncultured bacterium. Its description in RNAcentral is "partial 16S ribosomal RNA". It matches the Rfam family "Bacterial small subunit ribosomal RNA", at positions 338 to 795 of the family's 1533-position model. The record is from RNAcentral.